This 395-nucleotide unclassified non-coding RNA is filed under the name soil metagenome. Its description in RNAcentral is "partial contains 5.8S ribosomal RNA, internal transcribed spacer 2, and large subunit ribosomal RNA". The stretch from base 1 to 122 matches the Rfam family "5.8S ribosomal RNA", at positions 35 to 154 of the family's 154-position model. The record is from RNAcentral.
GAUGAAGAACGAAGUGAAAUGCGAUACUUGGUGUGAAUUGCAGAAUCCCGUGAACCAUCGAGUCUUUGAACGCAAGUUGCGCCCGAAGCCAUCAGGUUGAGGGCACGUCUGCCUGGGCGUCACAUAUCGUUGCCCAAUGCCUAUUGCAGUGCAAUAGGAAUUUCUAGGGCGAAUGAUGGCUUCCCGUGAGCGUUGUUGCCUCGCGGUUGGUUGAAAAUCGAGUCCUUGGUAGGGUGUGCCAUGGUAGAUGGUGGUCGAGUUAGAACGAUACCGAUCAUGUGCAUGCUCCCCAAAAUAUGGCCUCUAUGACCCACACGCGUCUUUUGACGCUCAUGACGAGACCUCAGGUCAGGAGGGGCUACCCGCUGAAUUUAAGCAUAUCAAUAAGCGGAGGA